AUACAGUUUUCUUUUAUUUGGAGGCUGGCACAGCUGUUCACUUGGAGAAGUGUCCCUCUCCACUCCAAUGAGCUGGUCUUGGAGCUACUUUACAAUAACAGCCUCUCCAGGUGGGGAACCCCCUGAUUGGGCUGGAGGUGGAGGAAACUGGCUUUUUAAGUGCCCACCCACAGCUCGGGAAGGGGCUGCACAGGAACACUUCACACCAAGCUGCUCAAAGUUCACCUGAGUGACAGAUUCUUUAGCAACAAUGUUCCUGAGAGGCUGGUGCCCUCUGAGAUAGAGUCUGCAAGACACCAGCUCCUGGUGAAUGCCGAGGCGGUGGCCCCGUUCCUGAUGCCCACAUGGUGCCCUGUGCCUGUUCUUCCUUCAGCAAUGCAAGGGCGACAGCAGGAUUCUAAAUACAGCUAUGAUCACUUUGGCUUUGGUGGACCCAAAUCGCCUGUAGCUGGCUCCCUUCCAGAUCCACUGGCUCUCCCAUUGCUGAGACUUGUCUGUGAGGACACAGAGGACCCCUUGCCUCUCCCCAGCCUGUCCCCUCCUCCUCUGCCCUCCUCCCAGGGCUGUGGGCAGGCUGCCCAGCACUGUCAGGCAGGGUGGCUGCUGCGGGCUCAGACACCCUGGGCCCAGGCUUGGCAGUGGGCGAGGGCACAGAUUGCAAGUUCUGGGGGAGGGGUGGUUGCAUUCAACACAUGUGGAAGGGUGUGACCCUGAUGGGCAAAGGAUGCUCCCAGCCCAGGCCAGGACCGAGACACCACUCCACCCAGAGCAGCUGGCCUGAGGAACUGAGCAGCACAGGGUCCCCAGGAUCCCCCAAGGGGCUCCUGUAUACAAGUCCCAGCUUGGUCAACCACGGCUUCUUGUUUCCCACGGCAUUGGAUGGAAGCUCUUUAGCCUUCUCGCCA
Molecule: long non-coding RNA, 905 nt
Organism: Bos taurus (domestic cattle)
Lineage: Eukaryota; Metazoa; Chordata; Mammalia; Artiodactyla; Bovidae
Source: Ensembl